This 247-nucleotide ribosomal RNA is filed under the name uncultured microorganism. RNAcentral describes it as "partial 16S ribosomal RNA". It matches the Rfam family "Bacterial small subunit ribosomal RNA", at positions 346 to 583 of the family's 1533-position model. The record is from RNAcentral.
GCGCAGCAGGCGCGAAUCUUCCACAAAUGGGGGAAACCCUGAUGGAGCGACGCCGCGUGCGGGAUGAAGGCCCUAUGGGUUGUAAACCGCUGUUCAGUGGAAAGAACAUCCUCCGGCUGAAUAGGUCGGAGGCCUGACGUUACCACUGGCAGAAAGUCCCGGCAACUCCGUGCCAGCAGCCGCGGUAAUACGGGGGGACGAGCGUUGUCCGGAAUCAUUGGGCGUAAAGGGCGCGUAGGCGGCGAGG